CGCGUGAGGAACCUGCCUCAAAGAGGGGGGACAACAGUUGGAAACGACUGCUAAUACCGCAUAAGCCCACGGUGCCGCAUGGCACAGAGGGAAAAGGAGCAAUCCGCUUUGAGAUGGCCUCGCGUCCGAUUAGCUAGUUGGUGAGGUAACGGCCCACCAAGGCAACGAUCGGUAGCCGGACUGAGAGGUUGAACGGCCACAUUGGGACUGAGACACGGCCCAGACUCCUACGGGAGGCAGCAGUGGGGGAUAUUGCACAAUGGGGGAAACCCUGAUGCAGCGACGCCGCGUGGAGGAAGAAGGUCUUCGGAUUGUAAACUCCUGUUGUUGGGGAAGAUAAUGACGGUACCCAACAAGGAAGUGACGGCUAACUACGUGCCAGCAGCCGCGGUAAAACGUAGGUCACAAGCGUUGUCCGGAAUUACUGGGUGUAAAGGGAGCGCAGGCGGGAAGACAAGUUG
This 461-nucleotide ribosomal RNA is filed under the name uncultured bacterium. RNAcentral's name for it is "bacterial SSU rRNA". It matches the Rfam family "Bacterial small subunit ribosomal RNA", at positions 114 to 590 of the family's 1533-position model. The record is from RNAcentral.